Molecule: ribosomal RNA, 572 nt
Filed under: uncultured freshwater bacterium
Lineage: Bacteria
Description: bacterial SSU rRNA
Rfam family: Bacterial small subunit ribosomal RNA
Source: RNAcentral
AGAGUUUGAUCCUGGCUCAGAUUGAACGCUGGCGGCAUGCCUUACACAUGCAAGUCGAACGGUAACGCGGGGCAACCUGGCGACGAGUGGCGAACGGGUGAGUAACGCAUCGGAACGUGCCCAGUAGUGGGGGAUAGCCCGGCGAAAGCCGGAUUAAUACCGCAUACGACCUACGGGUGAAAGCGGGGGACCGUAAGGCCUCGCGCUAUUGGAGCGGCCGAUGUCAGAUUAGGUAGUUGGUGGGGUAAAAGCCUACCAAGCCGACGAUCUGUAGCUGGUCUGAGAGGACGACCAGCCACACUGGGACUGAGACACGGCCCAGACUCCUACGGGAGGCAGCAGUGGGGAAUUUUGGACAAUGGGCGCAAGCCUGAUCCAGCCAUGCCGCGUGCGGGAUGAAGGCCUUCGGGUUGUAAACCGCUUUUGUCAGGGAAGAAACGCUCCGGGCCAAUACCCUGGGGUAAUGACGGUACCUGAAGAAUAAGCACCGGCUAACUACGUGCCAGCAGCCGCGGUAAUACGUANGGUGCAAGCGUUAAUCGGAAUUACUGGGCGUAAAGCGUGCGCAGGCG